This is a long non-coding RNA of Lates calcarifer (barramundi perch), 1998 nucleotides long. RefSeq lists it as uncharacterized. The transcript has 7 exons. Lineage: Eukaryota; Metazoa; Chordata; Actinopteri; Centropomidae. The record is from RefSeq and is a predicted model, not a curated record.
UGUGUGUGUGUGUGUGUGUACAUAUUGGCAGUUUAAUCAAACUGCUGGCUGAAAGAAUGACAUCAUAAUCUCGUCAGCACAACACACACAACAGCCACUGUCGUUUCUGACUCUGUGCCCAAAGUUUUGUUUUCAAGUCCUCCGUGUCUAUGAACUGUAUGUGUGUGUGUGUGACGUCAGUGUGCAGUGCACAAUGUCAUCUUUGCCCACUGGCCUAUUCUGUUUCCUUAGCACUGUGCCCAUUGCACCUUAUGUAAAUAUACAACCAGCCAAUAACAGGCAGUUUUUAGGGUUCAUGACCUUUAUCCUGGUUUUGAUGGCUCUGUUGCAAUGAAAAGAACAAUAUGUCUCUAUUUCGUCAUAAGCACUCCCAGAUGUUUGCUUUUCAACAGGAAUGCCUUAUUCACUUUUUUUUUUCAUUUAAAAAACAGAUCAAACACAAAAACAAUAUCAGUCAGAGAAACAUCAUGUACCUCUACCAGCAUAUCAAAUGACCUCACCAGUAGCCUUGUCUCAGGAUUGAGAGACCGCUUUAGAAGGAUUCAGUGGUUGUUACAUUAUUGCUGCCACCUUUUGGUCAUCUGCAGUUACUACAACAUACAACACUAUGGUUUCAUUUGGAGAGAGAAACCACUAGAGGAGAGGGUGCAGCCUCCUGCAGAUUCCUGUGCCAGCAGAGGAUUUCUGCCCAGACAGCGAGUGUUUCAGCCCAUUUUUCAGGUCCUGGUGGGCCUGUGAGGAGCUCACAUGUAGUGCACUCAGGGAGCUCAGCAGGGCAGAGACCCAGCAAAUUCCAUUGUUCCUCCAUGGACGUGGAAGAGUAUGGGGUGUUAUCUGUGCCAUGAUUCUUAGCAUACCAUUGGACAUUCUGACCACAUAAAAAGAAUGAUUUAUAUUUUGUAGAAAAAUUAUGAACCCACAAAGAUUUGCAUGUUUUCCAAUAUCAACAACAAUAACCUUUCUCACUCAGUUGUCUCAAAUUACCUGCUCUGGGUGCUCAAGUUUGUCUUUACACUUUCUCAAACUGACAGUGUUACAGUGUGCAACAAUUGAAGCCUGUCAGAGAAUUAGAAUAGGUCAUUUUCAGUCUUUGUUCCCCUUCAGUCUAUUUGCUGAUAGGAUUUAAUUUCUAGGGAAAUGUGGAAGCCCUGAGAGAAUGGACCAGUGUGUAGGAUUCAGUGCCAUCUAGCUGUGAGAACACAGAUUGCAACCAACAAAAUACCAGCUCCCUCACCCCUCCCUUUCCAAGCACAUCGGAGAGUCUAUGGUGGCUGUCAGGGGACAAAAUAACUUCAGUUACCAUAUCAACCAGUCUGUCAAGUUUUGGCCCCUCUUGCUCAAGCGUUGCAUCCUGGGUAGCUGGACGUCCACUUCCUCCUCGCUGUCGUCUGACUCAGCGCUGGUAAUAUCAUCGUCCUCCUCCUCUUCCUCGUCGUCGUCAUCCUCCUCUUCUUCUUCCUCCUCCUCCUCCUCCUCCUCACUGGCCUCCUCCUCUGCAGGCUGGGGCUCCUCCAGGUUCUGCGUCUCCCUACCUCCAUUGGAUUGACAGUGAUUGUCAGAGCCGAGUCGUUCCAGGUUGCAUCCGCCUCUUUAGCUGUCUCGGCCAUCUUGACCUCCUGCUGGUGUGUCAGGUGAAUGCGAUAGAUGCCCAGCACCACGACCACCACCAGGGCAGCGAUACACAUCACGAUCACCACUGUGGCAGCACUUGGCACGCCUGGAAACAGAGGAGGAGAGAGGGACAGAGAGCUUGGAAUGGUCUACAACCCUUACACUAUGGUUCUUGACAAAGCUGGCUGCUGCUUUUGGCCUGGGUGUGGUCCAACCAGAACAAGUGCAUACUGCUGCAAUAAGUGGCAUCUGCCCUGGUGACUGUGCUGAUGAUAUGAAGGUCCUGGAACAGAGCUAUGCCGCCUGGCGCUCUGAGGUCGGAAGCUGGCCGGCUCAGUCUCUCCAAUCCUGUGAUGGUGAUCCUGGGCUCACUAGGCUGCAGCACCA